This 1701-nucleotide ribosomal RNA is filed under the name Fermentozyma sake. RNAcentral's name for it is "SSU rRNA". It matches the Rfam family "Eukaryotic small subunit ribosomal RNA". The record is from RNAcentral. Lineage: Eukaryota; Fungi; Ascomycota; Pichiomycetes; Serinales; Debaryomycetaceae.
UCUGGUUGAUCCUGCCAGUAGUCAUAUGCUUGUCUCAAGAUUAAGCAUGCAUGUCUAAGUAUAAGCAAUUAUACAGUGAACUGCGAAUGGCUCAUUAAUCAGUUAUCGUUUAUUUGAUAGUACCUUACUACUUGGAUAUCGUGGUAUUCUAGAGCUAAUACAUGCUAAAUCCGACUCUGGAGGGAUGUAUUUAUUAGAUAAAAAUCAUGUCUUCGGACUCUUUGAUGAUCAUAUAACUUUUCGAAUCGCAUGGCUUGUGCUGGCGAUGGUUCAUUCAAUUUCUGCCCUAUCAACUUUCGAUGGUAGGAUAGUGGCUACCAUGGUUUCAACGGGUAACGGGAUAAGGGUUCGAUUCCGGAGAGGGAGCUGAGAAACGGCUACACAUCAAGGAAGGCAGCAGGCGCGCAAUUACCAAUCCGACACGGGAGGUAGUGACAAUAAAUAACGAUACAGGGCCUUAUGGGUCUUGUAAUUGGAAUGAGUACAAUGUAAUACCUUAACGAGGAACAAUUGGAGGGCAAGUCUGGUGCCAGCAGCGCGGUAAUUCAGCUCCAAAGCGUAUAUUAAAGUUGUUGCAGUUAAAAGCUCGUAGUUGACCUUGGGCUUGGUUAGCGGUCCGCCUUUUGGUGAGUACUGGAUCUAACCGAGCCUUUCCUUCUGGGUAACCUUUCUUUCGGGAAGGCGAACAGGACUUUUACUUUGAAAAAUUAGAGUGUUCAAGCAGGCUUUGCUCGAAUAUUAGCAUGGAAUAUAGAUAGGACGUUAUGGUUCUAUUUUGUUGGUUUCUAGACCAUCGUAAUGAUUAUAGGGACGGACGGGGUAUCAGUAUUCAGUUGUCAGAGGUGAAUUCUUGGAUUUACUGAAGACUAACUACUGCGAAAGCAUUUACCAAGCACGUUUUCAUUAAUCAAGAACGAAGUUAGGGGAUCGAAGAUGAUCAGAUACCGUCGUAGUCUUAACCAUAAACUAUGCCGACUAGGGAUCGGGUGUUGUUCUUUUAUUGACGCACUCGGCACCUUACGAGAAUCAAGUCUUUGGUUCUGGGGGAGUAUGGUCGCAAGGCUGAACUUAAAGGAAUUGACGGAAGGGCACACCAGGAGUGGAGCUGCGGCUUAAUUUGACUCAACACGGGGAACUCACCAGGUCAGACACAUAAGGAUUGACAGAUUGAGAGCUCUUUCUUGAUUUUGUGGGUGGUGGUGCAUGGCGUUCUUAGUUGGUGGAGUGAUUUGUCUGCUUAAUUGCGAUAACGACGAGACCUUAACCUACUAAAUAGUGCUGCUAGCUUUUGCUGGUAUAGUCACUUCUUAGAGGACUAUCGAUUUCAAGUCGAUGGAGUUUGAGGCAUAACAGGUCUGUGAUGCCUUAGACGUUCUGGGCCGCACGCGCGCUACACUGACGGAGCCAGCGAGUUUAUACUUGGCCGAGAGGUCUGGGAAAUCUUGUGAAACUCCGUCGUGCUGGGAUAGAGCAUUGUAAUUAUUGCUCUUCACGAGAAUUCUAGUAAGCGCAAGUCAUCAGCUUGCGUUGAUUACGUCCUGCCUUUGUACACCGCCCGUCGCUACUACCGAUUGAAUGGUUAGUGAGGCUCCGGAUUGGCUUAAGAAAGGGGCAACCUCAUUCUGGAGCUGAAAAGCUGGUCAAACUUGUCAUUUAGAGGAAGUAAAGUCGUAACAAGGUUUCGUAGGUGAACUGCGGAAG